Molecule: ribosomal RNA, 374 nt
Filed under: uncultured bacterium
Lineage: Bacteria
Description: bacterial SSU rRNA
Rfam family: Bacterial small subunit ribosomal RNA
Source: RNAcentral
AUACGUAGGGGGCAAGCGUUAUCCGGAAUUACUGGGUGUAAAGGGAGCGUAGGCGGCAAUGCAAGUCAGAUGUGAAAGCCCGAGGCUCAACCUCGGGACUGCAUUUGAAACUGUAUAGCUAGAGUACAGGAGAGGAAAGUGGAAUUCCUAGUGUAGCGGUGAAAUGCGUAGAUAUUAGGAGGAACACCAGUGGCGAAGGCGGCUUUCUGGACUGUAACUGACGCUGAGGCUCGAAAGCGUGGGGAGCGAACAGGAUUAGAUACCCUGGUAGUCCACGCUGUAAACGAUGAAUGCUAGGUGUCGGCUCGUAGAGGGUCGGUGCCGCAGUAAACACAUUAAGCAUUCCACCUGGGGAGUACGAUCGCAAGAUUGAA